GCCUGGGUGGCUCAGUCGGUUAAGUGUCUGACUUCAGCUCAGGUCAUGAUCUCGCGGUUUGUGGGUUCGAGCCCCGUGUCGGGCU
This 85-nucleotide transfer RNA is filed under the name Felis catus (domestic cat). It matches the Rfam family "tRNA". From Rfam's summary of the family: Transfer RNA (tRNA) molecules are approximately 80 nucleotides in length. The record is from Rfam by way of RNAcentral. Lineage: Eukaryota; Metazoa; Chordata; Mammalia; Carnivora; Felidae.